CAAAGCAUAAAUACACUGAUGU
This 22-nucleotide non-coding RNA is filed under the name Arabidopsis thaliana (thale cress). Lineage: Eukaryota; Viridiplantae; Streptophyta; Magnoliopsida; Brassicales; Brassicaceae. The record is from RNAcentral.